GAGGGCCCCGCACAAGCAGCGGAGCGUGUGGUUUAAUUCGUUGCUACACGAAGAACCUUACCUGGGUUUGACAUAAUGGUGGUAGGGAUCCCGAAAGGUGACCGACCCUUCGGGGAGCUUGCACAGGUGCUGCAUGGCUGUCGUCAGCUCGUGUCGUGAGAUGUUCGGUUAAGUCCGCUAACGAGCGCAACCCUCGCUGUGUGUUAUAUGUGUCACACGGGACUGCCGGUCUUAAGCCGGAGGAAGGUGGGGAUGAUGUCAAGUCAGCAUGGCCUUUAUAUCCUGGGCUACACACACGCUACAAUGGCCAACACAAUAGGUUGCUAAGCCGCGAGGUGGCGCCAAUCCAUAAAGUUGGUCUCAGUUCAGAUUGUAGGCUGCAACCCGCCUGCAUGAAGAUGGAGUUGCUAGUAACCGCAGGUCAGCUAUACUGCGGUGAAUACGUUCCCGGGGCUU
This 456-nucleotide ribosomal RNA is filed under the name uncultured Leptolinea sp. RNAcentral describes it as "bacterial SSU rRNA". It matches the Rfam family "Bacterial small subunit ribosomal RNA", at positions 915 to 1382 of the family's 1533-position model. Lineage: Bacteria; Bacillati; Chloroflexota; Anaerolineae; Anaerolineales; Anaerolineaceae. The record is from RNAcentral.